This 1293-nucleotide long non-coding RNA is filed under the name Equus asinus (donkey). RNAcentral describes it as "lncRNA (ENSEASG00005027985.1)". The record is from RNAcentral. Lineage: Eukaryota; Metazoa; Chordata; Mammalia; Perissodactyla; Equidae.
CCGGCCCCAACUUGCCCAAAUCCAGCUGGAGCCACCGGCGCGACCAGAGGGCAUCACCGGAAACCCCUCCGGGGCGGGCGGCGGGGCGCGGGGAGACCAGGGCGGGCCACCCUUCCCCGCCCCGCCCCGCGCCCCGCCCACGGGACCCGGACCGCGCCCUCAACCCCAGGCCCCGCGGCCACCCUGGACAGCUCCUGACUGACCGACCUGAGAGACACAGAGACAGAGACAGAGACAGAGAGAUUGAGAGGAUCCGAGACACGGACCCAGACAGACACCCACCGGGACAGACACACAGACGCUCACGCUGACGCAGAGAGGCCCUGCCCAAGAGGCAGCUUCCCCACAGGAGGGCGGUGGUGCUUGAGCUGGGCCCGGGCAAGGAGGCGGGGGCCCUGGGGCUGGCGAUCACCCCUGGGGCCCUGGGACGUGCAGACAGGGUCUCAGGAGUGCAGCGCUCCUGGGAUCCCUGUCCCGCGACCCGGACGCCCAGGAGCCACGGACUGGCAGCCGGGCUCGGGCUCGCUCUCGCUCUCGCUCUCGCUCUCGCUCUCGCUCUCGCUCUGUGUGUGUGCGUUUUUGUGUGCGCCUGCGUGUCUGUGUCUGUUUGUGUGUUUCUUUCCUUCUCUCUUCGCCUCUUCGUUCUGGCUCUUUUCCUCUUUCUGCGGGGCGCCCCCGGACUUCCUGAGUUGACAGAACGACCAGCCAGAAAAGUCAGGACACGGAGAACUUCGCCCGAGAAACCAACGCAAUCUACCAGACGUACAGAACCCCCUCCCCGACGACCACAGCGUCCACAGUCUGCUCGAGUGCAGGGCGAAAGAAACUUUGGUAAUAUAUUUCUUUAAAUCUUGGCUCAUGGAUCCAAACAAAUCUGGUCGGGUCUCCUCUGAAGUUCAGAAUAAUAUAAAAAGGCCCAUCCUUUGUCAGGCUGUAAGAAAAUAAUUUCUCAGAUACCAUUGUGUAAAAGCAUCCUGCCUUUGUCAUGGAAUCAGUGACAUAUCUUUCGUUGAUCAAAACAGCAGUGGGAGUACCUGUGGAGCAAUGAUAAGGAUUCAGGAAAUAGUUUACGAUUCAAGUGCAUCCUAAAGUUGGAGCAACCCUGGCUAGAAUAUCAUAGAUCCUUGAGUUGGCAGAGACCUUUCACUCUUCAGUAUAUUUAUAUUCAACGCAAAGAUCCUUCCUUCUAUAUCAUCCUUGACAACAGACCACCUAGAUUCUGUGUAAAUAAUUCCGAUGACAAGAAACGCAUUAAAUAAAGAGACCCCUUUGUUUUUAGAGUUUUAAAUGUUU